AUUGAACGCUGGCGGCAGGCCUUACACAUGCAAGUCGAACGAGUGGCGGACGGGUGAGUAAUGUCUGGGAAACUGCCCGAUGGCGGGGGAUAACUACUGGAAACAGUAGCUAAUACCGCAUACCAUCGGAUGUGCCCAUAUGGGAUUAGCUAGUUGGUGGGGUAACGGCUCACCAAGGCGACGAUCCCUAGCUGGUCUGAGAGGAUGACCAGCCACACUGGAACUGAGACACGGUCCAGACUCCUACGGGAGGCAGCAGUGGGGAAUAUUGCACAAUGGGCGCAAGCCUGAUGCAGCCAUGCCGCGUGUAUGAUGAAGGCCUUCGGGUUGUAAAGUACUUUCAGCAGGGAGGCGUUACUCGCAGAAGAAGCACCGGCUAACUCCGUGCCAGCAGCCGCGGUAAUUC
This 406-nucleotide ribosomal RNA is filed under the name uncultured bacterium. RNAcentral describes it as "partial 16S ribosomal RNA". It matches the Rfam family "Bacterial small subunit ribosomal RNA", at positions 30 to 526 of the family's 1533-position model. The record is from RNAcentral.